RNAcentral lists this ribosomal RNA (460 nucleotides) under uncultured bacterium. RNAcentral describes it as "partial 16S ribosomal RNA". It matches the Rfam family "Bacterial small subunit ribosomal RNA", at positions 338 to 795 of the family's 1533-position model. The record is from RNAcentral.
CCUACGGGAGGCAGCAGUGAGGAAUAUUGGUCAAUGGCCGUAAGGCUGAACCAGCCAAGUAGCGUGAGGGAAGACUGCCCUAUGGGUUUUAAACCUCUUUUAUGCGGGGAUAAAGGUGUCCACGUGUGGCUGUUUGCAGGUACCGCAUGAAUAAGGACCGGCUAAUUCCGUGCCAGCAGCCGCGGUAAUACGGAAGGUCCGGGCGUUAUCCGGAUUUAUUGGGUUUAAAGGGAGCGUAGGCCGGUCUUUAAGCUUGCCGUGAAAUUUUUUGGCUCAACCAUGAGAGUGCGGCGCGAACUGGAGACCUUGAGUGCGCGGAAGGCAGGCGGAAUUCGUGGUGUAGCGGUGAAAUGCUUAGAAAUCACGAAGAACCCCGAUUGCGAAGGCAGCCUGCCGCAGCGUUACUGACGCUGAAGCGCGAAAGCGCGGGUAUCGAACAGGAUUAGAUACCCCAGUAGUC